Molecule: long non-coding RNA, 3149 nt
Organism: Gorilla gorilla gorilla (western lowland gorilla)
Lineage: Eukaryota; Metazoa; Chordata; Mammalia; Primates; Hominidae
Exons: 3
Source: RefSeq, a predicted model, not a curated record
GGGUGGCAGGGCCCGCCGCCUUGAGGCUGCCUUUCCCGGCGUUCCCUCGUUUAUUGGCUCACUCUUCCUUUCAUCCAUCCAUCCUUUGCGCAACAAUAUUUGAUGGGAAGCCUGCCAAGAGGCAGGGAGAAAGACACAUGGGCAGGAGAAUACCACAUGGAGACACAGACACACGAGGAGAGGAUGCCUGCUGACCAUGGAGGCAGAAGUGGGACUGAUGCAUCGAUCAGCCCAGGGAUGCCAAGCACUGCCAGCAAACACCAGAGGCUUGAUGGGGCCGAGGAUUCUCCUGUGCAGGUUUCAGAGGGAGCCUGGCCUUGCAGACACCUUGAUUCCUGACUUCUGCCCUCUAAAAUGACUUUGACUUCGCUUAAACCGGAGAAGAUACUGUUGGAGAGGAGGGGAGAUGGGAGAAGUUGUGGCCACACAUCAGGGAGAAAAACAAGUUAACUCCUAUCUUUUGAGCUUCCAAAGACUCAGGUCCACAGCUCUAAGGGUUUUUGAAGGUUGAUUUUUAAUUGUUUAUUCUUUGGCCUUACAUGCUGACUUUACAAAUUAACCCUGAGGUCAGAUGAGAUUCUACUACAUCUCUAGCCGACACCUCAUCUUUCACUCCAGCUUGUAUGACUGGCUGCUGAACACAUCUAGUUGGGUGUCUCACACACAUCUCAAACCAGCAUGUUCAAAACCAAGUUCUAGAUUUGCCACCCUAACCAGUUUAUCCCCUAUUUCCAUCACCACCAUGCUAGUCCAAGGGAUUACACUUCCCUUCUGGAAGUUUUUGGAAAUAGCCCAGUUGCAAUCCCCGCCUUCACAUUUGCCUCCAAAAGUCUAUUCUCCAGUUAAGGGGUUGCAUCAUAGCUACCCUGCUUAAAAUCUUUAAAAAACCUUCCCAAUGCCCUUACAGUAGUCUCCUAAAUCCUAAGCCACAAGCCCCUAUGCAAUCUAGCCCCUGCCUACUCUCCAACUUUGCCAUGGGUUACUCUCCCUGUCACUUACUGCAUUCCAAUCAUCCUGGCUUCUUUCCUUCUUUUCAAACAUGCCAAACUCUUUCCCACCUAAUUCCCUGUCCCAGCAGAGGGAACAGCACAUGUGAAGGCAUUUCCAUGGCUGGCUCCUUCUCUGCCUUGGGUCUUAACUUGAAACUCAUCUCCUUGGAGAGAUCUUUCCUAACUCCUUAGUCUACAGUAGGGGCUCCUGCACUUGUCUGUCAUGGCACUCUGUUCUUUCCUUUAAGCACUUACUAUAAUUUGCAAUAUAUAUUUAUGUGUUAGUAUCAGCUGCUCCCCCUUCCAUGCCCUAUGCCCCAUCCUGCCCAGACUAUAAGGUCUUUGGGGACAUGUCUGUCUUGUUCAUCCGCAUAUAUUUGUUGUUGGGCACAUAUUAAGUGCUAGAGAAAGUUGAAGGAAUGAAUGAAUUAUACAGUUAAAAUUUCACAAUUGUGGUAAGUUCCGGAAAGGACAAAUAAGGGUUGUUUGCUCUGAGAACAAACUUUAACACAACUUGACCAAGGCUGGGAUUAUUGGAGGGCUGGUCUGGGGAAGUGAUACUUAAGUUGAGACCCAACGGGCUAGUAUCACACAGAAAGCCUUCACAACUCGGGGGAGCAGUGUGUGCAAAGGCCGUGAGGUGGAAAGGAGCACAGUAUGUUCUAGGAUCUGAAAGGGAGAACUCAAAGCAAGAAGGAGAAAGAUUCUAGAAGACGCUGGUGAGGCAGGCUGGAGGCUGACCAGGAAAGACCUUCAGGAGAUGUGGAAGAGUUUGGAGUAAUGAGAAGCCGUUUUAAGUACAGGAAUGAUUCCAUCGAAUUUGUAUAAGAUCAGUCUGGCCGCUGGGUGGAGGCUUUCUAAGAUGGGGUUGAAGAGGGAUGGGGAGGAGUAAGGAUGGCUGUAGAAUGACCAGGAGUCCACAGGAGGCAAUGUGAGAAAUUGUGGCUUGAACUAGGCUGAGGGAAGCAGAGGUGAACAGACAAUUCCCAAAGAUACUUAGAAAGAUAUGCAAAGAAGACUAGGUCCUUGCCCUCAAGACUUACUUUUUCUGAGCAUGGAAACACACAUAGAAAGAGGAAUUGUAGGCUGGGCGUGGUGGCUCACACCUGUAAUCCCAGCACUUUGGGAGGCCGAGGCAAGCAGAUCACGAGGUCAGGAGUUUUAGACCAGUUUGGCCAAUAUGGUGAAACCCCGUCUCUACUAAAAAUACAAAAAAGUUUAGCCAGAUGUGGUGGUGCAUACCUGUAGUCCCAGCUACUUGGGAGGGUGAGGCAGGAGAAUCGCUUGAAUCUGGGAGGUGGAGGUUGCAGUGAGUCAAGAUUGCCUCACUGCACUCCAGCCCGGGUGAUAGAGCAAGACUCCACCUCAAGAAAAAAAAAAAAGAGGAAUGGUAAAGGGAAGAAACACAGAGGAAAAAAGGAAGAGGAAAGGAUUAGGACCUGGUAUAAUAAAUCCUGAAAGUAUUAAAAAGGGAAUUCUGGGAGGAGAUAGUCUAAUUGUGUUCUACCAAAUGCUGGUGCUCGGAUUCUCUUACAAAACCCCCCAUGUAACACAGGAGCCCAGCACAUAUUGGUUUACCACUGGAAAUAAUCAUAUUUUGCAUUAAUAGUUUUGGCCUUCAGCCCAUCUUCAUGCAGUUUCAGAUCUGAUUUUUUUUUUUUUUUUUUUUUUUUUUUUUUUUGCUACUCAACAGAUUGCAUUCUUGGUUGCCUUUUAAUUGUUGAAUUGCUGUUCUUUAUCUGCAGUCUCUGACUAGUAACCUUAUUAUAACAAUUACCCAAGACUUAAAACUAAACAGUGAACAAUAAAAAUCUACAAUAAUGAAAAUGCUUAAAUUAAAUAAAAAUCUCCUAACAUGUAGCUGAGCAUACUGAAAUGGAUUGUAUGAGUCACCAAAUGUAUGAAUGAUUUAUUUUAGAAGUUAUAUCAGCUGAAGAAAAUCAUAUAUCAAUCUCAUCAUUCAAUACCCAGGCCAGCCCAAAUACACUCAUCACAGAGCCUCUGAAUGAAAUAGUCUCAUGCAGAGAUUAUUAAUCUAUAAAUAAUAUCCUAAUGGUCUGUUAGUGUUUAUGACUACUGUUUUAAAAAUAUUCAUUAGUGGCUUUAAGAGCUGUUUCAUAUUUGUUUCCACUGUCCCAUAUAUGUUUGCAACUCUGUGUG